UUCAUUCUCUUUCUCUCUCUCUCUCUCUCAAAAUGUCAAUUUCCACUUCAUUCCGACUAUUCUUCUACACCAAAUUCCCACAGUCCCUCCUCCUCCUCCGACCCACUUCCCCAAUCUUCAAAACCCUCUCCUUCUUCAAAUCAAUCUCUAUCCAAAGACUACCCACAACAAACCCACCUCUCUCUUCACCACCACCUCUACCAUCUUCUUCUUCAUCAUCCCAUCCCUCUUUCUCUCUCCAACAACCCAUUUCUGAACUCCCUCCAAAGCUCCAAGCAAUCGUCAAGCUCUUCCAAGCCGUGCAACAACCCAAGGCCAAAUACGAACAGCUCCUUUUCUACGGCAAAAACUUGAAAACCCUUGAUUCCCAGUUCAAAACCAGCGAAAACAGGGUCCAGGGUUGUGUCUCUCAGGUAUGGGUCAGAGCAUACCUUGACUCGGUCGGGAACGUUGUUUUUCAGGCAGAUUCUGACUCGGUACUCACCAAGGGGCUCGCUGCUUUGCUAGUCCAGGGGCUUUCAGGUCGACCAGUUGAGGAGAUUAUACGGGUUUCGCCCCAUUUUGUGGUGCUUCUUGGGUUGCAACAGAGUUUGACUCCGUCAAGGAAUAAUGGGUUCUUGAAUAUGCUAAGGUUGAUGCAAAAGAAGGCGUUGCAGCUAUAUUUGGAAGCUGAAAAAGGAGGUGAAUUGUCGUCUUUAUCAAUGAGUGCAGAAAACCCGGUUGAGGAUUUGGAUUCUGGCUCAAAAGUCGGGAUUGGUAUUGGGGAUUUGAAGUUGGGGAAAUCUGAAGUGGCUGCUGAUGAUUCGGAUUCGAAUUCAGACGGGUGGGGGAGUAGAGGGGAGAGAAUUAAGGAGAAAUUAGAGGCAGGACUGAGUCCUACCGAGUUGAAAGUGGACGAUAUAUCUUAUCAACAUGCAGGGCAUGAGGGUGUUAGAGGGAGUGACGGUGAGACUCAUUUUAAUGUGAAAGUAGUGUCAAAGGAAUUUGAAGGAAAAAGUUUGGUUAAGAGGCAUAGGCUUAUCUAUGAUUUGUUGCAAGAUGAGUUGCAGAGUGGAUUACACGCCUUGUCUAUUGUGGCAAAAACGCCAUCUGAAGUUGAUAUCAAGUGAAGAAUUUUGCAUGAAAGAGGUUCCUUUUUUUGUUUUUCUCUUUCUCAUUUUCAUAGGGUGAUGAAUUAUGGAAUAGAUUCAGGACACUAGAAGUAUUGGACCUUACUGAAGUUUGAGGAUAUGAGAGGAUAAUAUGAUUAUCAGAGAUUAUGGAAUACAUGGACGAUACCAAUGGGUCGGGAGUAGCAGGAGAUUCUUGUAUUACCUUUGGGCUAUCAGAUCCUGGUGUAACCAUGUUGGGCUUCAAUAGCGUUCCUUCUAGAAGAACAUGGUGGUCAUUCAGUGCCUUGUAACAGGCAGCAAGCACGGUUUCAGUGACAGCAGCACAUUUCUUAAUGUCAUGACUCCCAUCCGUCAACACCUCUGGCUCAACAAUCGGCACAAGUCCGUUAUCCUGACAAAUCCUUGCAUAACGCGCCAAUCCCUGCGCAUUCUGCUGGAUCGACAGCUCAGACGGUUCAGUGAUGCCAAUCUUGAGGACCGCACGCCACUUGGCAAACCGGGCCCCAGCCUCAUAGAAUUGCUGACAACGAGCUCCUAACGAAUCGAAACCUUGGGUGGUGGUCUCUCCAUUGGUACCAGCUAAAUCGACAGUGCCCUUGUCGACUUUGAUUCCAGGGACCACAUUGUUUUCCUUGAGGAGCUCGACAAAGGGCUUUCCAUCUAGGGUUUUUUGGUAGAGGGUUUCUUCAAAGAAAAUGACACCAGAGAGGUAGGUAAGUGCAUUGGGAGAGGUCAGAAGGAGCUCGCGGAGAGCUUGGCGGUUGUCAAUGUUGUUGUCGACGUUGAUGCUUGAUAGACGCUUCCCGAUGGUACCAGUGCUUUCGUCGGCGGCUAGAAUGCCCUUUCCUGGGGUGGCAAUGUACUUGGCAUUCUUGAUCAGUUCAUCUGCAGAGGAUAAUGUCUGAGAAAGCAAGGUAGAGUUUUGAAACGUUUUGUUUAGUGCAUGAUAUCAAGCUUCUUUGUUUGUAAAUCCUGCUUUUAGUUGUAAUAUUUGUUGGUUGUAUGCUAAGGUUAAUAUGGACCCAGAUACCUGUGUUUGGUGGGAGUUGGUGUAUGUGUCAAAUUCAUCUAUUUUUCAUGUUCCAAAAGGCGCUGACGUGACCAGUUUUUUUU
This is an RNA transcript of Rhododendron vialii, 2225 nucleotides long. It is a transcript of the gene named sufE-like protein 1, chloroplastic/mitochondrial, with no coding region annotated. The record is from RefSeq and is a predicted model, not a curated record. NCBI's taxonomy places the organism in Eukaryota, Viridiplantae, Streptophyta, Magnoliopsida, Ericales, Ericaceae. The transcript is spliced from 3 exons.